GGAGGUAAGAGGUACGUACAGGGUAGGAGUGAAUACUUUGUAAUCCCUGUGGGACCACCUGUGGCGAAGGCGUCUUACCAGAACGGGUUCGACGGUGAGGGACGAAAGCUGGGGGCACGAACCGGAUUAGAUACCCGGGUAGUCCCAGCCGUAAACGAUGCUCGCUAGGUGUCAGGCAUGGCGCGACCGUGUCUGGUGCCGCAGGGAAGCCGUGAAGCGAGCCACCUGGGAAGUACGGCCGCAAGGCUGAAACUUAAAGGAAUUGGCGGGGGAGCACAACAACGGGUGGAGCCCUGCGGUUUAAUUGGACUCAACGCCGGACAACUCACCGGGGGCGACAGCAAUAUGUAGGCCAAGCUGAAGACUUUGCCUGAAUCGCUGAGGAGUGGUGCAUGG
RNAcentral lists this ribosomal RNA (396 nucleotides) under uncultured archaeon. Its description in RNAcentral is "bacterial SSU rRNA". It matches the Rfam family "Archaeal small subunit ribosomal RNA", at positions 604 to 997 of the family's 1478-position model. The record is from RNAcentral.